UACGAAGGGGGCUAGCGUUGCUCGGAAUCACUGGGCGUAAAGCGCACGUAGGCGGAUUCUUAAGUCGGUGGUGAAAUCCUGGAGCUCAACUCCAGAACUGCCUUCGAUACUGAGAGUCUUGAGUUCGGGAGAGGUGAGUGGAACUGCGAGUGUAGAGGUGAAAUUCGUAGAUAUUCGCAAGAACACCCGUGGCGAAGGCGGCUCUCUGGGACGGUACUGACGCUGAGACGCGAAAGCGUGGGGAGCGAACAGG
This 253-nucleotide ribosomal RNA is filed under the name uncultured bacterium. Its description in RNAcentral is "partial 16S ribosomal RNA". It matches the Rfam family "Bacterial small subunit ribosomal RNA", at positions 524 to 776 of the family's 1533-position model. The record is from RNAcentral.